GAUGAAGAACGUAGCGAAAUGCGAUACGUAGUGUGAAUUGCAGAAUUCAGUGAAUCAUCGAAUCUUUGAACGCACAUUGCACCUCUCGGUAUUCCGGGAGGUAUGCCUGUUCGAGCGUCAUUUGUACCCUCAAGCUCUGCUUGGUGUUGGGUGUUUGUUCCGCCUCUGUGUGUGAACUCGCCUCAAAACAAUUGGCAGCCGGCGUACUUGUUUCGGAGCGCAGCACAUUUUGCGAUCCAGAUCAACGUACAGCGGCAUCCAAGAAGCCUUAUUUAACGCUCUUGACCUCGGAUCAGGUAGGGAUACCCGCUGAACUUAAGCAUAUCAAUAAGCAGAGGA
This 339-nucleotide unclassified non-coding RNA is filed under the name soil metagenome. RNAcentral's name for it is "partial contains 5.8S ribosomal RNA, internal transcribed spacer 2, and large subunit ribosomal RNA". The stretch from base 1 to 120 matches the Rfam family "5.8S ribosomal RNA", at positions 35 to 154 of the family's 154-position model. The record is from RNAcentral.